GACGAACGCUGGCGGCGUGCUUAACACAUGCAAGUCGAACGGAAAGGCCCUGCUUUUGUGGGGUGCUCGAGUGGCGAACGGGUGAGUAACACGUGAGUAACCUGCCCUUGACUUUGGGAUAACUUCAGGAAACUGGGGCUAAUACCGGAUAGGAGCUCCUGCUGCAUGGUGGGGGUUGGAAAGUUUCGGCGGUUGGGGAUGGACUCGCGGCUUAUCAGCUUGUUGGUGGGGUAGUGGCCUACCAAGGCUUUGACGGGUAGCCGGCCUGAGAGGGUGACCGGCCACAUUGGGACUGAGAUACGGCCCAGACUCCUACGGGAGGCAGCAGUGGGGAAUAUUGCACAAUGGGCAGAAGCCUGAUGCAGCAACGCCGCGUGCGGGAUGACGGCCUUCGGGUUGUAAACCGCUUUCGCCUGUGACGAAGCGUGAGUGACGGUAAUGGGUAAAGAAGCACCGGCUAACUACGUG
RNAcentral lists this ribosomal RNA (468 nucleotides) under uncultured bacterium. RNAcentral's name for it is "partial 16S ribosomal RNA". It matches the Rfam family "Bacterial small subunit ribosomal RNA", at positions 28 to 507 of the family's 1533-position model. The record is from RNAcentral.